Molecule: ribosomal RNA, 291 nt
Filed under: Eulithis ledereri
Lineage: Eukaryota; Metazoa; Arthropoda; Insecta; Lepidoptera; Geometridae
Description: partial 28S rRNA
Rfam family: Eukaryotic large subunit ribosomal RNA
Source: RNAcentral
GAACAGGAAAUAGCCCAGCACUGAAUCCCGCCGUUGUAACGGCGGCGGGAGAUGUGGUGUUCGGGAGGUUCCGCUUUCUUGUCGUCGUCCACUCCUGUCCAAGUUCGUCUUGAACGGGGCCCAUUUCCCACAGAGGGUGCCAGGCCCGUAGCGACGGAGGACGGCGGCGAGAGGGACUCUCCUCAGAGUCGGGUUGCUUGAGAGUGCAGCCCUAAGUGGGUGGUAAACUCCAUCUAAGGCUAAAUAUUACCGCGAGACCGAUAGCGAACAAGUACCGUAAGGGAAAGUUGA